CUCAGCCUACGGGAGGCAGCAGUAGGGAAUCUUCCACAAUGGACGAAAGUCUGAUGGAGUAACGCCGCGUGAAGGAAGAAGGCCUUCGGGUCGUAAACUUCUGUCCUUGGGGAAGAAGAACUGACGGUACCCAAGGAGGAAGCCCCGGCUAACUACGUGCCAGCAGCCGCGGUAAUACGUAGGGGGCAAGCGUUAUCCGGAAUUAUUGGGCGUAAAGAGUACGUAGGUGGCAACCUAAGCGCAGGGUUUAAGGCAAUGGCUCAACCAUUGUUCGCCCUGCGAACUGGGAUGCUUGAGUGCAGGAG
This 305-nucleotide ribosomal RNA is filed under the name uncultured bacterium. RNAcentral describes it as "bacterial SSU rRNA". It matches the Rfam family "Bacterial small subunit ribosomal RNA", at positions 330 to 654 of the family's 1533-position model. The record is from RNAcentral.